UGCGUUUGGGGGGGCUUUUUUGCUCCCCUGCUUAUAAGCAACUGACCUGUGUGCGUUUGGUAAACCUGCUUUUGCCCAGCUUUUGGCAGAAGCCGCUGCUUCUUUUAGUCGAAAAGCCAAAGCCAGCAACCCCAUGCUUUUAAAAGCCAGCGCUGGCUUUUCCACUGUAGCGGGAGUUACUGUAGUUUAAUGAACAUUUCGAAAUACCGGGUUGUGCCCUCUCUUCCUUUCAGCAAUUACACCACACUGCCAUCAAACCCUUAUCUUCCAUAUCGCUGACUGCCUCCUCUCAUUCGUGUUCGAAGCCUCAAUCCAAUCCCCAGAUUUUCGUACCAGGCUCUGAAAAUCGAAAGCUUUGCAGGUUCUAUCCUAUGAUAAACUCCUUGAGCAACUUGAUCUUUCAAAUGGCAUAAUCAAAGGGAAGUUAGAUCAUUUGAAAAGAUCUGUUGAGGUUCAGUUUGCAGCUGGGAGGGAUCUGAAACCUGGACAGCUUGGGAAUAUAAUAGAGACCUUAACGGAUUGGUACUAAAGCUUGGGCUACUUUUGAUUGCCAAACUUUCUUUCCAUUUUGAUGAUCAACCAAGAAGCUUCUCCCAUAACUGAAAUAGGCGUCAUUUUUUGUGGUUACUUGAUGCAAACCAAAAACCAAUUGUUGUUAAUGUUAUUAAUAUAUUUGUAUAAGUU
Molecule: long non-coding RNA, 684 nt
Organism: Rosa chinensis
Lineage: Eukaryota; Viridiplantae; Streptophyta; Magnoliopsida; Rosales; Rosaceae
Exons: 5
Source: RefSeq, a predicted model, not a curated record